RNAcentral lists this ribosomal RNA (253 nucleotides) under uncultured bacterium. RNAcentral describes it as "partial 16S ribosomal RNA". It matches the Rfam family "Bacterial small subunit ribosomal RNA", at positions 524 to 776 of the family's 1533-position model. The record is from RNAcentral.
UACGAGGGGGGCAACUGUUGUUCGGAAUCACUGGGCGUAAAGGGAGCGUAGGCGGGUUCUUAAGUAAGGUGUUUAAUCCCGGGGCCCAACCCCGGACCGGCACUUUAAACUGGGAAUCUUGAAUAGUGGAGAGGUCAGUGGAAUUGGGGGUGUAGCGGUGGAAUGCGUAGAGAUCCCCAAGAACACCAGUUGCGAAGGCGGCUGACUGGACACAUAUUGACGCUGAGGCUCGAAAGCAUGGGGAGCAAACAGG